This 283-nucleotide unclassified non-coding RNA is filed under the name uncultured fungus. Its description in RNAcentral is "partial contains small subunit ribosomal RNA, internal transcribed spacer 1, and 5.8S ribosomal RNA". The stretch from base 1 to 73 matches the Rfam family "Eukaryotic small subunit ribosomal RNA", at positions 1759 to 1831 of the family's 1831-position model. Lineage: Eukaryota; Fungi. The record is from RNAcentral.
ACAAACUUGGUCAUUUAGAGGAAGUAAAAGUCGUAACAAGGUCUCCGUUGGUGAACCAGCGGAGGGAUCAUUACCGAGUUAGACAACUCCCUACCCUUUGUGAACAUACCGUAUUUUCGUUGCUUCGGCGGGCUACCCCAGGGGGGGCUGUAGCCUGCAAGAGGCGCCCGCCGGAGGACCUAGACUCUGAAUUUGAUAAGUCUCCUCUGAGUAAAACAAAACAAAAUGAAUCAAAACUUUCAACAACGGAUCUCUUGGCUCUGGCAUCGAUGAAGAACGCAGC